Molecule: ribosomal RNA, 467 nt
Filed under: uncultured bacterium
Lineage: Bacteria
Description: partial 16S ribosomal RNA
Rfam family: Bacterial small subunit ribosomal RNA
Source: RNAcentral
GAUGAACGCUGGCGGCGUGCUUAACACAUGCAAGUCGAACGGAAAGGUCUCUUUCGGGGGGUAUUCGCGUUGCGAACGGGCGGGUAACACGCGAGUAAGCAGCCCUCGUCUUUGGGUUAAAUCCAGGCAAAUGGGGGUAAUACCGGACAGGUGAUCCUUCUGCACGGUGGGGGUUGGAGAGAUUCGGGGGUUGGGUAUGGGUUCUCGGCUUAUCAGCUCGUUGGUGGGGGGGUGGUUUACCAAGGCUUUGACGGGUAGCCGGCCCGAGAGGGUGAUCGGCCACAUUGGGACUGAGGGACGGCCCAGACUCCUACGGGAGGCAGCAGUGGGGAAUAUUGCACAAUGGGUGGAAGCCUGAUGCAGCAACGCCGUGUGCGGGAUGACGGCCUUCGGGUUGUAAACCGCUUUCGCUCAUGACGAAGCUUUGUGUGACGGUAGUGGGUAAAGAAGCACCGGCUAACUACGUG